RNAcentral lists this transfer RNA (73 nucleotides) under Oscillospiraceae bacterium. RNAcentral describes it as "tRNA-Lys". It matches the Rfam family "tRNA". Rfam says of the family: Transfer RNA (tRNA) molecules are approximately 80 nucleotides in length. Their secondary structure includes four short double-helical elements and three loops (D, anti-codon, and T loops). The record is from RNAcentral. Lineage: Bacteria; Bacillati; Bacillota; Clostridia; Eubacteriales; Oscillospiraceae. RNAcentral also lists the same sequence under 1 other name.
GCACCAUUAGCUCAGAUGGUAGAGCAACUGACUCUUAAUCAGUGGGUCCCGGGUUCGAGUCCCUGAUGGUGCA